UAACUUGCCCUUGGGUCUGGGAUAACCCCUGAGAAAUUGGGGACAAUACCGGAUAGGGCAUCGAUMGCUGGAAUGUGCGAUGUCCAAAAGCUGAGGCGCCCAAGGAUAGGUCUGCGGCCGAUUAGGUUGUUGUUGAUGUAAUGGAUCAACAAGCCUGCAAUCGGUACGGGUUGUGARAGCAAGAGCCCGGAGAUGGGUUCUGAGAAAAGAACCCAGGUCCUACGGGACGCAUCAGGCGCGAAAACUUUACAAUGUGCGAAAGCACGAUAAGGGAACUCUGAGUGCCUCCUAUGGAGGCUGUUCAGGUGUCUAAAAAGCACUUGAAGUAAGGGCUGGGYAAGACCGGUGCCAGCCGCCGCGGUAACACCGGCAGCCCAAGUGGUAGCCACGAUUAUUGGGUCUAAAGCGUCCGUAGCCGGCCAGGUAAGUUCUUUGGGAAAUUUAACCGCUCAACGGUUAAGCUUUCAGGGAAUACUGCUUGGCUUGGGACCGGGAGAGGUCAGAGGUACUUCAAGGGUAGGGGUGAAAUCCGUUAAUCCUUGAGGGACCACCAGUAGCGAAGGCGUCUGACCAGACCGGGUCCGACGGUGAGGGACGAAGGCUAGGGUCGCGAACCGGAUUAGAUACCCGGGUAGUCCUAGCUGUAAACGAUGCGGGCCAGGUGUUGGCAUUACUGCGAGUGAUGUCAGUGCCGAAGGGAAGCCGUUAAGCCCGCCAUCUGGGGAGUACGGUCGCAAGGCUGAAACUUAA
This 750-nucleotide ribosomal RNA is filed under the name uncultured methane-oxidizing archaeon. RNAcentral's name for it is "bacterial SSU rRNA". It matches the Rfam family "Archaeal small subunit ribosomal RNA", at positions 105 to 859 of the family's 1478-position model. The record is from RNAcentral.